GUGUGGCCCAGUGGUAGAGCUCUUGCUUAGCAAGCAUGAAGCCCUGGGUUCAAUUCCCAGUACACACA
RNAcentral lists this transfer RNA (68 nucleotides) under Ictidomys tridecemlineatus (thirteen-lined ground squirrel). Its description in RNAcentral is "Spermophilus tridecemlineatus (thirteen-lined ground squirrel) tRNA". It matches the Rfam family "tRNA". From Rfam's summary of the family: Transfer RNA (tRNA) molecules are approximately 80 nucleotides in length. The record is from Rfam by way of RNAcentral. Lineage: Eukaryota; Metazoa; Chordata; Mammalia; Rodentia; Sciuridae.